Long non-coding RNA from Stegostoma tigrinum, 429 nucleotides. RefSeq lists it as uncharacterized. The transcript is spliced from 3 exons. The record is from RefSeq and is a predicted model, not a curated record. Lineage: Eukaryota; Metazoa; Chordata; Chondrichthyes; Orectolobiformes; Stegostomatidae.
AGAUGUGCAGGGUAAAGAAUGGAAAGAGAGGCAAGCUCACUGGCUACGUCACAUCCAUCAGGGUACCACUUCAGAGGGCAUUUAAGAGUUAACUACAUUUCUGUGGGUUUGGAGUCACAUGCAGGCGUGACCAGAGCUAUUGGAGAGCGAAGUCCAGAAUUUUGACCCAGCAAUAGCGAAGAAACAAUCAAUCAACAACUAGCAAUUGUUCUUGAAGUCCCAUGACAAAAGGAAACACAACAAACUUGAGAUUAACGCAGCAUUGUAAAUGAAACAGAAAUCAGGAUUUUGAUGUAUCCAUGUGUUAAUAAUACUACACAUUUAUUAUUAAAUUCUUGUUAACAAUAAUAAUAAUGCAAGGAUUACCUGAUACCGGUCAAUGAACUGAACAUGAGGAAAAUGGAGAGUUGACACAAAUACAUGGAUGUA